This 301-nucleotide ribosomal RNA is filed under the name uncultured bacterium. RNAcentral describes it as "partial 16S ribosomal RNA". It matches the Rfam family "Bacterial small subunit ribosomal RNA", at positions 509 to 807 of the family's 1533-position model. The record is from RNAcentral.
CAGUAGCCGCGGUAAAACGGAGGGUGCAAGCGUUAUCCGGAUUUAUUGGGUUUAAAGGGUCCGUAGGCGGACUUAUAAGUCAGUGGUGAAAGCCUGUCGCUUAACGAUAGAACUGCCAUUGAUACUGUAAGUCUUGAGUAUAUUUGAGGUAGCUGGAAUAAGUAGUGUAGCGGUGAAAUGCAUAGAUAUUACUUAGAACACCAAUUGCGAAGGCAGGUUACCAAGAUAUAACUGACGCUGAGGGACGAAAGCGUGGGUAGCGAACAGGAUUAGAUACCCCGGUAGUCCCUGUCUCUUAUAC